CUAGGGUCUCUAAGACGUAUACCAAAUUUUCCUGUAAGAGAAUCCUCCUGGGGACGUGUCAUAAAUCAGUUUUUCAAAGCCAUAUCUCUGAACUCCCUUCAUUCCAUAGCUACAUUACUGAAGUGUUAAGCUACCAAAAUAGAAAAGGAGACAGGAAGAUGACUGACAGAGAAGAUAACCACCUUCGGUUAGCGGCACUGUGUCGGAGAAUGGGUGAUCUAUGGUCCGAAGAAGACAUCACAGACCUAGGGGAUGACAUUCCUACAGAGGAAAAGCAUCAAAGUGAAUUAACCCUGUAUGGUAAGCUCUAUUCCAAGCCAAAUGUUAACUUCCAGGCUCUCUGUAAUACUAUGACGAGAGCAUGGAAGUCUGAUUCAGUCAAAUGCGAACAAAUAGAUACAGGUUUCUUCGCCUUUAUAUUCCAGUCAAUUGAAGAAAAAAGAAGGGUAUUAAA
RNAcentral lists this long non-coding RNA (454 nucleotides) under Eucalyptus grandis. Its description in RNAcentral is "long non-coding RNA (EGRA_LNC005183)". Lineage: Eukaryota; Viridiplantae; Streptophyta; Magnoliopsida; Myrtales; Myrtaceae. The record is from RNAcentral.